This 216-nucleotide long non-coding RNA is filed under the name Musa acuminata (dwarf banana). RNAcentral's name for it is "long non-coding RNA (MACU_LNC008587)". Lineage: Eukaryota; Viridiplantae; Streptophyta; Magnoliopsida; Zingiberales; Musaceae. The record is from RNAcentral.
GGAUGAACUACACAUAUUGGAAAAUUCGAAUGAGAGUUUUCUUACUUUUAUUGGAUUUAAAUUUAUGGAGUAUUGUUGAAAACAAUUUUCGAAUGUCUUCUCUUCCAAUGAACCAUUGGAAUGAUUCGGAGAAGAAGACUUUUUCUUUCAAUGCGAAAGCUAUGAAUAUUUUGUUUUGCACCUUAGAUAAAAACAAAUUUAAUCGUGUUUCUAUGU